AGAGUUUGAUCAUGGCUCAGAUUGAACGCUGGCGGCAGGCCUAACACAUGCAAGUCGAGCGGUAGCACAGAGAGCUUGCUCUCGGGUGACGAGCGGCGGACGGGUGAGUAAUGUCUGGGAAACUGCCUGAUGGAGGGGGAUAACUACUGGAAACGGUAGCUAAUACCGCAUAACGUCGCAAGACCAAAGAGGGGGACCUUCGGGCCUCUUGCCAUCAGAUGUGCCCAGAUGGGAUUAGCUAGUAGGUGGGGUAAUGGCUCACCUAGGCGACGAUCCCUAGCUGGUCUGAGAGGAUGACCAGCCACACUGGAACUGAGACACGGUCCAGACUCCUACGGGAGGCAGCAGUGGGGAAUUUUGGACAAUGGGGGCAACCCUGAUCCAGCCAUGCCGCGUGAGUGAAGAAGGCCUUCGGGUUGUAAAGCUCUUUCGGUGGGAACGAAACGGUUACGACUAAUACUUGUGACUACUGACGGUACCUACAGAAGAAGCACCGGCUAACUACGUGCCAGCCGCCGCGGUAAUUC
This 527-nucleotide ribosomal RNA is filed under the name uncultured bacterium. RNAcentral describes it as "bacterial SSU rRNA". It matches the Rfam family "Bacterial small subunit ribosomal RNA", at positions 8 to 526 of the family's 1533-position model. The record is from RNAcentral.